AAUCUCGAAAAUAAAAGAUUUAAAAAUUUUUCUUAGUUUUUGUUUUAAUAAAAUUUAAAAAAGAUUUUUGGGGAUGAGACAUCAGUCGAUUUUAUUUAUAUCUAGCAACUUUAGAAAAAGAUUUAUUUUAGGGUGUUUAGGGUGUCUUAUUCUUACUACAUUCUUAUUUUUUAGGGGAUGAGCUCUAAGAAAAAUAUAAAAGGAUAAAAUUAUUGACUUCUGAUUAGGCUUAGAAUUAGCUAUAGGAUAGUGUUAUAAGAUAGGAGGACGAGGAAAGGAUUUAUAUGGCCUUUUUUAUUAAUGAAGUUAUUUUUAAAUUAUGUUGUUUAAGUAAAAAUGGUAAAAUUAGUAGAAAGUUAUUUGAUUAUUUUGAGAGUAAAUUUUAAGUGUAAAUAUAAUAAAAGAAUUCGGCAAAUUGGAUUUCCGAAUGUUUAACAAAAACAUUUCCUCCCAGAGGGGGAGGUAAGGCCUGCUCACUGAGUAUUAAAGAGCCGCAGUAUAUUGACUGUGCUAAGGUAGCAUAAUCAUUAGUCUUUUAAUUGAGGGCUGGUAUGAAUGGCUAAACGAGAAAUCAGCUUUUUUUGUUAUAAAUAUUGAAUUUAACUUUUUAGUGAAAAGGCUAAAAUUUUUCAGAAAGACGAGAAGACCCUAUAGAGUUUGAUGCAGGCUACAUAUUUAAUCUCAUUUGGUUAAAGAUAGAGUAUUGUGGUGCAUUUUGUUGGGGCGACACUAAGAUACAAAAAACUCUUUAUUUUUUUAACUAGAAUGUUAGGGUGAAAGAUUGAUCCUCUAAAAGAGAUCAAAAGAAAAAAUUACCUUAGGGAUAACAGCGUAAUCUUUUUUGAGAGUUCUAAUCGACGAAAAGGUUUGCGACCU
Molecule: ribosomal RNA, 876 nt
Filed under: Tetrapachylasma sp. BKKC-2017
Lineage: Eukaryota; Metazoa; Arthropoda; Thecostraca; Balanomorpha; Pachylasmatidae
Description: partial 16S ribosomal RNA
Rfam family: Archaeal large subunit ribosomal RNA (bases 419-573)
Source: RNAcentral